Molecule: ribosomal RNA, 200 nt
Filed under: uncultured organism
Description: partial small subunit ribosomal RNA
Rfam family: Bacterial small subunit ribosomal RNA
Source: RNAcentral
CGUCAAGUCAUCAUGGCCCUUACGACCAGGGCUACACACGUGCUACAAUGGCGCAUACAAAGAGAAGCGACCUCGCGAGAGCAAGCGGACCUCAUAAAGUGCGUCGUAGUCCGGAUUGGAGUCUGCAACUCGACUCCAUGAAGUCGGAAUCGCUAGUAAUCGUGGAUCAGAAUGCCACGGUGAAUACGUUCCCGGGCCUU